CGAACGCUGGCGGCGUGCUUAACACAUGCACGUCGAACGGGAUUUAGUAAACAGAAGCCUCGGUGGAAGAUUACUAAUGAGAGUGGCGAACGGGUGAGUAACGCGUGAGCAACCUGCCUAUGACAGUGGGAUAGCCUCGGGAAACCGGGAUUAAUACCGCAUAAAAUCGUAGACACACAUGUUUUAACGGUCAAAGAUUUAUCGGUCAUAGAUGGGCUCGCGUCUGAUUAGCUAGUUGGUGAGAUAACAGCCCACCAAGGCGACGAUCAGUAGCCGGUCUGAGAGGAUGAACGGCCACAUUGGAACUGAGACACGGUCCAAACUCCUACGGGAGGCAGCAGUGGGGAAUAUUGCACAAUGGGGGAAACCCUGAUGCAGCGACGCCGCGUGAACGAAGAAGGUAUUCGUAUCGUAAAGUUCUGUCCUAUGGGAAGAUAAUGACAGUACCAUAGAAGAAAGCUCCGGCUAAAUACGUG
Molecule: ribosomal RNA, 476 nt
Filed under: uncultured bacterium
Lineage: Bacteria
Description: partial 16S ribosomal RNA
Rfam family: Bacterial small subunit ribosomal RNA
Source: RNAcentral